RNAcentral lists this ribosomal RNA (253 nucleotides) under uncultured bacterium. RNAcentral's name for it is "partial 16S ribosomal RNA". It matches the Rfam family "Bacterial small subunit ribosomal RNA", at positions 524 to 776 of the family's 1533-position model. The record is from RNAcentral.
UACGAGGGGGGCGAGCGUUGUUCGGAAUUAUUGGGCGUAAAGGGCGCGUAGGCGGUCGGAUAAGUCUUGUGUGAAAUCUUCGGGCUCAACUCGAAGUCUGCACAGGAAACUAUCUGGCUUGAGUGUGGGAGAGGUGAGUGGAAUUCCUGGUGUAGCGGUGAAAUGCGUAGAUAUCAGGAGGAACACCUGUGGCGAAAGCGGCUCACUGGACCACAACUGACGCUGAGGCGCGAAAGCGUGGGGAGCGAACAGG